UAAAAAGGGGGGUAGCGUUGCUCGGAAUCACUGGGCGUAAAGCGCACGUAGGCGGAUUGUUAAGUCAGGGGUGAAAUCCUGGAGCUCAACUCCAGAACUGCAUUUGAUACUGGCGAUCUCGAGUCCGGGAGAGGUGAGUGGAACUGCGAGUGUAGAGGUGAAAUUCGUAGAUAUUCGCAAGAACACCAGUGGCGAAGGCGGCUCACUGGCCCGGUACUGACGCUGAGGUGCGAAAGCGUGGGGAGCAAACAGG
This 253-nucleotide ribosomal RNA is filed under the name uncultured bacterium. RNAcentral describes it as "partial 16S ribosomal RNA". It matches the Rfam family "Bacterial small subunit ribosomal RNA", at positions 524 to 776 of the family's 1533-position model. The record is from RNAcentral.